Macaca fascicularis (crab-eating macaque) is the source of this 109-nucleotide small nuclear RNA. The record is from Ensembl. NCBI's taxonomy places the organism in Eukaryota, Metazoa, Chordata, Mammalia, Primates, Cercopithecidae.
GUGCUGGCUUCGGCAGCACGUAUACUAAAGUUGGAAGUAUACAGAGAAGAUUAGCAUGGGGCUCUUGCGCAAGGAUUACACACAAAUUUGUGAAGUGUUCAAUCUUUUC